UAUAAUUGAUAAUAUGUCAAAUUUUCCCUAAAAUAAAUAAAUAGUAAAAAAGAACAAAAGAACCAUCUUCUCUCUUGAUUAGCCACCGUUAUUAAGAACAUAAGAAACAACGAAUGAGAAAGGAUGAAUGUAUGAACAACGAUUAGAGAGAGAAAAGGGAUAGAGAGGGGUCGGAGAGAUGAAACACAGGAAAUGUCAUGGCCCGAUUCCGACAUACGUUCAGGAUUGACGCGCGACCGUAGACUAUAAGGGAAUGCCAAGAAUACAACUGAAAUACUGAACUGAAAUUUUACAAUAUUUACCAUAGGGCCAAGACAUGCCCGUAGGUUCCCAAAAAAAAGUCCAAAGAAAGUAUAAGGAAAGAUAUAGGGGUAACCUAAUCACUCCAAGCUCUCUAAACUCUGUUUGCUACCCCAAAGCUCCACGUAUCAACUAAAACCUGCACAACGCCCCCUACAUCGUGGGAAUGGUGCACUGGGCAAACAACAACCUGGAUAAGUCGCGAAGCUCGUGUGAGUGAUAAUAAUGCAACGUAUGUGAUAAUAAUAAAAACAAUACAUCGAUCACGAUUUAUAAACAUCAAAUAUAAAAUCAUAUUUUAUGAAAUCAUAAUCAAGCCACUGAAAAUCCCGAAUGAAUCACACAGACAUCCAUCGACAUAUCUGAAACAAAUCACAAAGGUUCACAAUCAAUAACUCAUGCAAUGUGCCAAAAUGCAGGGCUAGAGCGACACAGUUCGGCUGAAGCCCACAUCUCUAAAGCUUUCUCAAUUUAGACCCAAUCCAACGAAUCAACGAAGUCAAGAAUGUGAUUUCCGACCACUCAACAAAAUCCAACAACAUCGGGUUCUGAACCACUCAACGGAACCAAAAUACCAAGUGAGACUCCGGACCACUCAACGAAAUUACGGAGUAUAAGGGAUUUCGGACCUCUCAACGGAAUCCAAGUGGAUACGAUUCCGGACCACUCAACAGAAUCGCGGAGUACAAUGGAUAUCGGACCACUUCGCGGAAUCCAAAGCAGGAUACGAUUUCGAACCGCUCAACAGAAUCGCAGAGUACAAGGGAUUCCAAAUCACUCAACGGAAUCCAGACGAAGUAGGGAACCGGACCACUCAACGAACCCCAGUAGGACUCAGUUCCGGAUCACUCAACGGAACUGAGCAGAAGUCCAAGAAACAUAACCACGACUUGAAGAAGCAAGACAUGAAUAAAGUUGCUCAAUUUAUAAAGGCUCAACGAAUGAAACAAAGCACAAGUUACACAAUUUAGAACGGCUCAACAAUGGAAAAAUGAAAUAAGAAACGGGAUAUGAAGCAAGUUUUGAAGCAACAAAUCCCCAUGUCAAAGGGUUAACAGUCCACUACUAGCCCUCACAUUUCACAAACAGUUCACAUGCAUUUCAAAUCAUAUUUAACAAAUAUUUCCAAUCUAUAAGUCAAAUCACAUUUAAUAAAAAUAGAUCGAUGGCUAAAUAUAAAAUAACAAUUUAAUAUAAAACAUAGUUCUAAAUCAUGCCGUAUCCACAAAGAAUACUAGCACGGAGUUUUCAGGGUAAUAACCAGAUCACAUGUAUUAAAGUCACUCACCUGGAGUUCGCGUUACGACUCCCAAGCACGAAUAUCAAGGCGUCACGAACGAUCGUCGCCUAAAACAAGUAUCAAAUCACGUUUCAAAAUUUUAUAGCUAGAACACGUAAUCGUAGUUUGUACACGUCAUCUAGGAUAUUUUAGAAUGAUUUGAGACCGGUUGACCAAAAGUCAACCGUUGGUCAAAGGUUAACGGUAGGGUCUAGGGCUGGGUUCGGUUUAAAACGAUUCGGUUUUUUGCCAAAAUUGAAACCGAACCGAAAUUUUGGUUCAGUUCUGUUUGGUUCUUUUUUUUUCGGUUCGAUUUUUUUCGGUUUUGAUUUUUUCCGGUUCGGGUUUCGGUUUUUUCGGUUUUUUUUUUUUCAAAAAAUGAUGUAAAUAAUGGAAGGAGCUUACCUAUCAACCUCCCAAUUCUCAUAUAUCAGAGAAUUGAGAGCCUCAAAAUCCUGAAUAUAUUCAAGCAUUUCAACUACUUAUGAUCAAGCAAAUACAUAAACAUAUAUACUUCAAGGAAAUGUACAGGAUUCGAAAUUCUAAAACUUUAAAAUUUGCAAAAUCAUGAAAUAAUUCAACAAAUUACCUGAUGCAGAUCGAAACAAAAAAAAAAGCAAAUGGGUUCGUCUAAAUGCCAUAAUCGGACUCCAAUAUCACAUGCCCAGUGCCCACAUUCAAAUUCAUAGUCAAGUCCACAAUAGAUCUAGAAAAUUCCAAAACAUAUUCAGAGAAAAAUACAAACUUUUCCACCUUAAAUUACAUAAAUUUCAAAUGGGUAACCAUAAAAUUAAAAACCCAUAAACUGAAAAAUAAAUAAAACCCACAACCUUUGCUGCAGCGAUAUCGCAGUGAUCGUCGCAAGCUCUUACAAUUCCUCUUUUCGUCGGGUCUCGAAAUGGGCGAGGGAAAAUCAUUGUUUGGAAGAAAGAAUCCGCGAGGAGGACAAGAGAAGACUAGAGAGAGUGAUUUGGAGGAAGAAAGGAAGGAGAGGGAGAGAGAGAGACUGAGGAAGCAAGCAGAGAGGAAGCAGCGGCGGGGAGAGAGAGCGAGUGUUUGAGUCUCAAACUUUGAGAUCUGAAAAUGAAAUGGGAGUGGGAC
RNAcentral lists this long non-coding RNA (2680 nucleotides) under Malus domestica (apple). Its description in RNAcentral is "long non-coding RNA (MDOM_LNC015949)". The record is from RNAcentral. Lineage: Eukaryota; Viridiplantae; Streptophyta; Magnoliopsida; Rosales; Rosaceae.